Non-coding RNA from Pelobates cultripes (western spadefoot toad), 229 nucleotides. The record is from the annotation of a GenBank genome assembly. NCBI's taxonomy places the organism in Eukaryota, Metazoa, Chordata, Amphibia, Anura, Pelobatidae.
CAAAGGCCUGAUGACUUUGCAAGAAACAUGUCCUUAAAUACUGGGUAAGUCUAUAUUAAACAGUGACAGUGACAGUGACAUUGACAGUGACAUAGCAUUUUUACCCUGUAUAUUGUGUGGUCACAGCUAUAAUGUGCAGUAUUACAAACUAUUCAUAAGUGUUGUGCCAACUGUUCUUUAAAAGCCAGUGGUCUAGUGAGCUAUUUAUUUAUUUAUUCUUUAAAGCUCU